GACGAACGCUGGCGGCGUGCUUAACACAUGCAAGUCGAACGAAGUGGCGAACGGGUGAGUAACGCGUAAUCAACCUGCCCUUCAGAGGGGGACAACAGUUGGAAACGACUGCUAAUACCGCAUACUGAAGGAGGGGAUUGCGUCUGAUGAGCUAGUUGGAGGGGUAACGGCCCACCAAGGCGAUGAUAAGUAGCGGGCUGGAGAGGAUGACCGGCAACAUUGGGAUGGAGAAACGGCCCAGCCUCUUACGGGAGGAACCAGUGGGGAACUUGCGGCAAUGGAGGAAAGCCGGCGGGAGCAAGGCCGGGGGAGGGAGGACGGCCUCGGGUUUGUAAGCUAUUUUCAGCGGGGAGCGUUACCGGCAUAAGAAGCAACGGCUAACUACGUGCCAGCAGCCGCGGUAAUAC
RNAcentral lists this ribosomal RNA (407 nucleotides) under uncultured bacterium. Its description in RNAcentral is "partial 16S ribosomal RNA". It matches the Rfam family "Bacterial small subunit ribosomal RNA", at positions 28 to 526 of the family's 1533-position model. The record is from RNAcentral.